AAAUGCGCAACGAUAAGAAAAGUAAGUCAUUGCUGCUUGUUUCAGAGAGCUCGGUCUGGUGGGAAAGAGCACAAGCAAUUGAUCGAAGAUGGUCUUUGAGCGUUUGUAUGUGAGCUUUAGGCUAGCCUACAACGGGAUGCCCGUUACAGCAAAUCAGUGAACUGAUAAGGUUGAUUUCGAUCAACGAAUAAAGGUGGUACCACGAACUUGGUUGUUUCGUCCUUUCU
This 227-nucleotide non-coding RNA is filed under the name Enterococcus sp. RNAcentral's name for it is "T-box sequence". It matches the Rfam family "T-box leader". From Rfam's summary of the family: Uncharged tRNA acts as the effector for transcription antitermination of genes in the T-box leader family. T-boxes are found upstream of many aminoacyl-tRNA synthetase genes and some amino acid biosynthetic genes usually in Gram-positive bacteria. The record is from RNAcentral. Lineage: Bacteria; Bacillati; Bacillota; Bacilli; Lactobacillales; Enterococcaceae.